This 254-nucleotide ribosomal RNA is filed under the name uncultured bacterium. RNAcentral's name for it is "partial 16S ribosomal RNA". It matches the Rfam family "Bacterial small subunit ribosomal RNA", at positions 524 to 776 of the family's 1533-position model. The record is from RNAcentral.
CACGUAGGGUGCGAGCGUUGUCCGGAAUUAUUGGGCGUAAAGAGCUCGUAGGCGGUGUGUCGCGUCGGCCGUGAAAACCUGCAGCUUAACUGUGGGCUUGCGGUCGAUACGGGCAUCACUGGAGUUCGGCAGGGGAGACUGGAAUUCCUGGUGUAGCAGUGAAAUGCGUAGAUAUCAGGAGGAACACCGAUGGCGAAGGCAGGUCUCUGGGCUGACACUGACGCUCAUGCACGAAAGCGUGGGGAGCAAACAGG